AACACUGAUCACUUUCUGAUUUGGUCCUAUUAAAAAAUGUCACGUGUUAAUUAUUUUUUAAAGUACAAUCAUGCUGUGGAAAAGUAUGAUUGUGUAUUUAUAUGAAAUAUUCAAAAUUUUCUUCUAUUUUUCUGUAUUUUUCAAAUUUUAACAUUAUUUUCUAAACAAAUUAAUAUGGACCGUUGGAUGCAAUUUUUUUUUUGCAAUCCAACAGCCCAUGUUGUGCCACGUGGGCAAAACGGCUAGUAGGAUUUUUUUUAUUUUUUAUUAUUAUUUUUAAAUUAUCUUUGCAAAUGACAGCUUAAUAUGGACUAUGGGAUUAUAGGACAGUUAGAAAUUCAAUGGUCCACAUCUCGCCACGUGUACUAGUCAUUGGAUUAGAAAUCAAAAUUUUAUAUUACCGUUGAAAAUCUUUUAGAUGUAUACAGGCAAUGUCAUCCAUACAGAAUUUACGCUGAGUGCACUGCAAGUUGGUCGCAUCGGCCUUUUUUGUUUGCCAAAGUGCCACCCACAUCCUCGUAUUAUGCACUCGCCUCACGCAAAAAAUUUAAAACGUGGCUGACAUCACACAACACUUAGGUGUAGAGUUCGGUAGAAAUUGCCUGACUAGCCCAUCGAGCUAAUUUGGGUCCACCAUUUGCCUGACUUUUUGGGCUAAGAUGGAGAUGAUAUUUUGGAUUUUGAGACAAUAAUUGCCCAAUUGCCAAGGCAAUCGGGUAUGAUGGACUUGCUCUAAAUGAAAUUAUUAAGGAUGAUGUUAGGGAAACCAAACUUUUAAAUCAAAUUUGAAAACUAAAUGACGUGUCACCAAUAGAAAAUAAGUACGUUAAUCAACACUUAAGUAAUAAUCCAAUCAUAAACAUCCACAUCCAUAUUAUUUAGUUUAUAAAAUUUGAUUUAGAAAUUUAGUCUCCUUAGUAUUAUCCAUUUAUUAAUAACAAAUUAACUUGUCAAUUUGCAAGGGUAUAACAUGUUUUAAUACUCAUGGCCCAAUUCAAUAGCCCAAUACCCAAACCAAGGAAAUAUAUAUGGCACCCAUGACACCCGUGGUAUUCACUCUUCAAAUACCUUAGGUACCGUUUGAUACGUGGGAUGAGAUGGAAUACAGUGGGAUGGGACACACUCAUCCCACGUUUGGUGCACCAAUUUGCCUGGAACGUGUUGUCCCAUGGAACGGAUUUUAGUCAAUUUUUUGUGCCACCCUCCUCCCUGGAACGAUUUGUUUCAGCCCAUGGAACACAA
RNAcentral lists this long non-coding RNA (1242 nucleotides) under Malus domestica (apple). RNAcentral's name for it is "long non-coding RNA (MDOM_LNC017822)". Lineage: Eukaryota; Viridiplantae; Streptophyta; Magnoliopsida; Rosales; Rosaceae. The record is from RNAcentral.